This 440-nucleotide ribosomal RNA is filed under the name uncultured bacterium. RNAcentral's name for it is "partial 16S ribosomal RNA". It matches the Rfam family "Bacterial small subunit ribosomal RNA", at positions 338 to 795 of the family's 1533-position model. The record is from RNAcentral.
CCUACGGGAGGCAGCAGUGGGGGAUAUUGCACAAUGGGGGGAACCCUGAUGCAGCGACGCCGCGUGGGUGAAGAAGCGCCUCGGCGCGUAAAGCCCUGUCAGCAGGGAAGAAAAUGACGGUACCUGAAGAAGAAGCCACGGCUAACUACGUGCCAGCAGCCGCGGUAAUACGUAGGGGGCAAGCGUUAUCCGGAUUUACUGGGUGUAAAGGGGGCGGAGACGGCGAUGCAAGCCAGGAGUGAAAGCCCGGGGGCCAAACCCGGGACUGCUCUUGGAACUGCGUGGCUGGAGUGCAGGAGGGGCAGGCGGAAUUCCUGGUGUAGCGGUGAAAUGCGUAGAUAUCAGGAGGAACACCGGUGGCGAAGGCGGCCUGCUGGACUGCAACUGACGUUGAGGCCCGAAAGCGUGGGGAGCAAACAGGAUUAGAUACCCGGGUAGUC